This 479-nucleotide ribosomal RNA is filed under the name uncultured bacterium. Its description in RNAcentral is "partial 16S ribosomal RNA". It matches the Rfam family "Bacterial small subunit ribosomal RNA", at positions 28 to 507 of the family's 1533-position model. The record is from RNAcentral.
GAUGAACGCUGGCGGCAGGCCUAACACAUGCAAGUCGAGCGGAAUGACUCUUUCGUGGCUCGGAGACCGGCGGACGGGUGCGUAACGCGUACGUAACUUACCCCAUCCUCUGGGAUAGCCCUUCGAAAGGAGGAUUAAUACCGGUUAACACUAAUGUGGUCAUCCACUUUGGUUGAAAGAUUUAUCGGGAUGUGAUGGACAUGCGUGAGAUUGUCUAGCUGGAUAGGUAAGAGCUUACCAAGGCGGGGAUCUGUAGGGGGCCUGCGGGGGUGCCCCCCCAGACGGGUACUGAGACACGGACCAGUCUCCUACGGAGCGGAGCAGUAAGGAAUAUAGGACGAUGGAUGAGGGCGUGAUCCAGCCAUGCCGGGUGCAGGAAGACUGCGCUAUGGAUGGUAAACUGCUUUUGUAGAAGAAUAAUCCACCUUACGGGUCGGGUGUUGAAGGUACCAUACGAAUAAGCACCGGCUAACUACGUG